Molecule: ribosomal RNA, 253 nt
Filed under: uncultured bacterium
Lineage: Bacteria
Description: partial 16S ribosomal RNA
Rfam family: Bacterial small subunit ribosomal RNA
Source: RNAcentral
UACGAAGGGGGCUAGCGUUGUCCGGAAUCAUUGGGCGUAAAGAGCGCGUAGGCGGCCCGGUAAGUCCGCUGUGAAAGUCGGGGGCUCAACCCUCGAAUGCCGGUGGAUACUGUCGGGCUAGAGUGCGGAAGAGGCGAGUGGAAUUCCUGGUGUAGCGGUGAAAUGCGCAGAUAUCAGGAGGAACACCAAUUGCGAAGGCAGCUCGCUGGGACGUUACUGACGCUGAGACGCGAAAGCGUGGGGAGCAAACAGG